UUUUUAUUUUUAUUUUUUUGAGUGCAUUAAUUUUAACAGCGAAUGCAUUAAUUUUUACAGUGGAUGCAUUAGAUUUGAUGGUUCUCACGAUCUCACAAAUAAUGUAGUUCUCUCCGGAACCACACCAUAUAUAUAUAAUUAUAUUUAAUGUAAUUUUGAAAUAUAAAAUAAAAUUUAAAAUUUAAUAUUUACUUUAUAAUUUAGUA
Molecule: long non-coding RNA, 206 nt
Filed under: Salvia miltiorrhiza (redroot sage)
Lineage: Eukaryota; Viridiplantae; Streptophyta; Magnoliopsida; Lamiales; Lamiaceae
Description: long non-coding RNA (SMIL_LNC011436)
Source: RNAcentral